GGACUACAGGGGUAUCUAAUCCUGUUUGCUCCCCACGCUUUCGCGCCUCAGCGUCAGUUGUGGUCCAGUUGGCCGCCUUCGCCACCGGUGUUCUUCCCAAUAUCUACGAAUUUCACCUCUACACUGGGAAUUCCACCAACCUCUCCCACACUCUAGCCUCGCUGUAUCGAGCGCAAUUCCUAGGUUGAGCCCAGGCAUUUCACGCCGGACGGACGAGGCCGCCUACGCGCCCUUUACGCCCAGUAAUUCCGAACAACGCUAGCCCCCUUCGUAUUACCGCGGCUGCUGGCAC
This 292-nucleotide ribosomal RNA is filed under the name uncultured Alphaproteobacteria bacterium. RNAcentral's name for it is "partial 16S ribosomal RNA". The record is from RNAcentral. Lineage: Bacteria; Pseudomonadati; Pseudomonadota; Alphaproteobacteria.